This 253-nucleotide ribosomal RNA is filed under the name uncultured prokaryote. Its description in RNAcentral is "partial 16S ribosomal RNA". It matches the Rfam family "Bacterial small subunit ribosomal RNA", at positions 525 to 777 of the family's 1533-position model. The record is from RNAcentral.
ACGUAGGUGGCAAGCGUUACUCGGAAUCACUAGGCGUAAAGCGCAGGUAGGCGGUUCAAUAAGUCUCUUGUGAAAGCUCCCGGCUUAACUGGGAGAGGUCAGGGGAAACUGUUGGGCUAGAGUGUGGCAGAGGAAGCUGGAAUUCCCGGUGUAGCGGUGAAAUGCGUAGAUAUCGGGAGGAAUACCUAUGGCGAAAGCAGGCUUCUGGGCCGUCACUGACGCUGAGCUGCGAAAGCUAGGGGAGCAAACAGGA